Molecule: long non-coding RNA, 981 nt
Organism: Equus caballus (horse)
Lineage: Eukaryota; Metazoa; Chordata; Mammalia; Perissodactyla; Equidae
Source: RefSeq, a predicted model, not a curated record
CCACCAUAGUGAGGAAAGGGCACUGGCCCAGUCAUGUCAGUCCACGGCCUGGAGGAAGUCAGUCCGGUGCCUCCCCACACCAUUCCAGGCACCGAGGAAGUGAGUUACGCCUGGCUCCCUUGGGGCUCGAGCAUUUUUGGAGUUCAAGAUAUCCAAGAAAAAUCCAUUAGCUUUCAUGGCCCUUGGGAGGAUGAGGCCAAAAUGUCUCAGAAGGUACUUUUCAGAGUGUGAGGAAACCCUAGAGAGUUAACCAGCAAGGACUGAAUUACUCAUAUGAAUCCGGAAGGGCUGGCUCAGGAAUAGUCGUCUCUGUUGGCCAGUAGCCUCCGGGACUCAUUUCCUACAAAGCUCAUGGAGAAAACCAGCCCAGAACCUGGAGACAUUGACAACAUGAAAGAAGGGAGAAAGGCAAAAAGAAAUAAUGGUGCUGAUAGUGGGUUUUGUUUAAGUUUGCUGGGAUGCAAAACAAAAUGGGCCGAGUAAACCACACUUGGAGAACAGCCCACAGCCCUGGUUCCAACACUCCCUUUAGUCCCCAUAGGGGGGUCGUCUCAGGUAGAAGGAGUCCCAGUGCACAAUGAGGAACUGUAAUCCCUAAGGCCCGACCAGUGUUUUACAAACCAAGGCUAAUAGACUACUAGUGGCAGAAUCACCUGGGUAAUUUUAAAGACGCAUAUUCUUGGGCUUCAGACCAAUCCUGGUGAGUCACAUUUUCUCAAGUGUGCCUCAGAACCCUUAUUUUUAACGAACAUUUCCUCCCCCUCAAAUUUUAACGUGCAUAGUAAUCAUUAAGAACUGCUGCUCUAAGUAGCUAGGAGAUGGAUAGGAGAUCAGAGUUAUGUGGUUUACAGAGCCAUGAAGGGAGAGCCUGUUACCCUGGGCAAAGGCCCCUUGGAAUUGGGGAAGGAAUGGGAUUUCCCCCACUGGAACCCCGAAAGUACUUCCAGCCUCAAGAAUAAGGAGGGAGAAGCUGAGCUAGAU